Molecule: ribosomal RNA, 483 nt
Filed under: uncultured bacterium
Lineage: Bacteria
Description: partial 16S ribosomal RNA
Rfam family: Bacterial small subunit ribosomal RNA
Source: RNAcentral
GACGAACGCUGGCGGCGUGCUUAACACAUGCAAGUCGAACGAUGAAGCUGGGGCUUGCUCCGGUGGAUUAGUGGCGAACGGGUGAGUAACACGUGAGCAAUCUGCCCUUGACUCUAGGAUAACUGCGGGAAACUGUAGCUAAUACCGGAUACGAGAUUUGGAGGCAUCUCCGGAUCUGGAAAGAAUUUCGGUCAAGGAUGAGCUCGCGGCCUAUCAGCUUGUUGGUGAGGUAAUGGCUCACCAAGGCGACGACGGGUAGCCGGCCUGAGAGGGUGACCGGCCACACUGGGACUGAGACACGGCCCAGACUCCUACGGGAGGCAGCAGUGGGGAAUAUUGCACAAUGGGCGAAAGCCUGAUGCAGCAACGCCGCGCGAGGGAUGAAGGCCUUCGGGUUGUAAACCUCUUUUAGUAGGGAAGAAGCGAAAGUGACGAUACCUACAGAAAAAGCACCGGCUAACUACGUGCCAGCCGCCGCAGUAA